Molecule: long non-coding RNA, 269 nt
Organism: Melanotaenia boesemani (Boeseman's rainbowfish)
Lineage: Eukaryota; Metazoa; Chordata; Actinopteri; Atheriniformes; Melanotaeniidae
Exons: 3
Source: RefSeq, a predicted model, not a curated record
GUUUGGUCCUGGCUGUAAUAGCGCAUCAGUUUGAAUGAACCUGUCGGAAGCAUCGAAUAUUAAAAAUGCAGCGAGGGAAAAAUAAGUCGGGUUUUCAAAAAAGGAGAGAGCGAAAGGAGCGAAAUGAAAGACAGAAGAGAGGAUGCCAAUAUGUGACCCAUUUUUUCACCAAGAAAGAUGAGCCAGCAGCAGCCCCAUCUCCACAUAACCCGUCCCCCACCUGUCCCAAUGAAGAAGGGCCCAGAUUUCCUGGCGGCACCCCUGGUGAU